This 71-nucleotide transfer RNA is filed under the name Actinomycetota bacterium. RNAcentral's name for it is "tRNA-Gly". It matches the Rfam family "tRNA". Rfam says of the family: Transfer RNA (tRNA) molecules are approximately 80 nucleotides in length. Their secondary structure includes four short double-helical elements and three loops (D, anti-codon, and T loops). Lineage: Bacteria; Bacillati; Actinomycetota. The record is from RNAcentral.
GCGGGUGUAGCUCAACGGUAGAGCUCCAGCCUUCCAAGCUGGUGACGAGGGUUCGACUCCCUUCACCCGCU